CACUUGUUUUGGUCCAAAUUAAUUCCCAGGAGUUACACGUUCUCUAUCAGGACACUUGUGGUUUUAUGUGGCUGCUUUACUCCGUUAACAUAAAAUUACAUUAUAUCACCUUUAGCUACCUCGAAAUCUACAAAAAAAAAGCUAAGAAAACAUGUUUUUACAACUUGAGUUGCCUCCGAUUGCAUGAGAUUUAGUUGCUGUUAGAUGGAUGUGUUCAUAAA
Pelobates cultripes (western spadefoot toad) is the source of this 221-nucleotide non-coding RNA. Lineage: Eukaryota; Metazoa; Chordata; Amphibia; Anura; Pelobatidae. The record is from the annotation of a GenBank genome assembly.